RNAcentral lists this ribosomal RNA (1467 nucleotides) under uncultured Bordetella sp. Its description in RNAcentral is "partial 16S-23S ribosomal RNA intergenic spacer". It matches the Rfam family "Bacterial small subunit ribosomal RNA". The record is from RNAcentral. Lineage: Bacteria; Pseudomonadati; Pseudomonadota; Betaproteobacteria; Burkholderiales; Alcaligenaceae.
AGUUCGAUCCCUGUCAGUUGAACGCUGGCAGGAUGCUUACGCAUGCAAGUCGAACGGCAGCACGGACUUCGGUCUGGUGGCGAGUAAGCGAACGGGUAGGUAAUGUAUCGGAACGUGCCUAGUAGCGGGGAUAACUUCGCGAAAGCGUAGCUAUUACCGCAUACGCCCUUCGGGGGAAAGCGGGGACCUUCGGGCCUCGCACUAUUAGAGCGGCCGAUAUCGGAUUAGCUAGUUGGUGGGGGUAACGGCUCACCAAGGCGACGAUCCGUAGCUGGUUUGAGGACGACCAGCCACGCUGGGACUGGGACGCGGCCCAGACUCCUGCGGGAGCAGCAGUGAGGGAAUUUUGGACAGUGGAAACCUGAUCAGCCAUCCCGCGUGUGCGAUGAAGGCCUUCGGGUUAUAAAGCACUUUGGCAGGAAAGAAACGGCACGGGAUAAUACCCCGUGCAUGACUGGCUACCUGCAGAAUAAGCACCGGCUAACUACGUGCCGCGCUUCGCGGUAAUACGUAGUAGGGUCUGUAGCGUUAAUCGGAAUUACUGGGCGUAAAGCGUGCGCAGACGGUUCGGAAGAAAAUCUUUAAAAAUCCCAGAGCUUAACUUUGGAACUGCAUUUUAACUACCGAGCUAGGUGUGUCAGAGGGAGGUGGAAUUCCGCGUGCGCCAGUGAAAUGCGUAGAUAUGCGGAGGAACACCGAUGGCGAAAAUAAUACUCCUGGGAUAACACUGACGCUCAUGCACAGCGUGGGAGCAAACGGGGAUUUAGAUGCCCUGGUGAAUCCACGCCCUAAACGAUGUCAACUAGCUGUUGGGGCCUUCGGGCCUUGGUGACGCAGCUAACGCGUGAAGUUGACCGCCUGGGGAAACCACGGUCGCAAGAUUAAAACUCAAAGGGAAUUGACGGGACCCGCACAAGCGGUGGAUGAUGUGGAUUAAUUCGAUGCAACGCGAAAAACCUUACCUACCCUUGACAUGUCUGGAAUCCGAGAUUUGGGAGUGCUCGCAAGAGAACCCGGGAGCACAGGUGCUGCAUGGCUGUCGCUCGUGUCGGUGAGAUGUUGGGUUAAGUCCGCAACAGGCGCAACCAUAUGUUAGUUGCUACGAAGGGCACUCUAAUGAGACUGCCGGUGACAAACCGGAGGAAGGUGGGGAUGACGUCAAGUCCUCAUGGCCCUUAUGGGUAGGGCUUCACGUCGUAAUGGUCGGGACAGAGGGUCGCCAACCCGCGAGGGGAACCAAUCCCAGAAACCCGAUCGUAGUCCGGAUCGCGGUCUGCAACUCGACUGCGUGAAGUCGGAAUCGCGCUAGUAAUCGGAUCAGCAUGUCGCGGUGAAUACGUUCCCAGGUCUUGUACACGCACCGCCCGUCACACCAUGGGAGUGGUUUUACCAGAAGUAGUUAGCCUAACCUGGGAGGGCGAUUACCACAGUGGGAUUCAUGACUGGGGUGAAGUCGUAAUAAGGUGG